This is a long non-coding RNA of Triticum aestivum (bread wheat), 4590 nucleotides long. RefSeq lists it as uncharacterized. Lineage: Eukaryota; Viridiplantae; Streptophyta; Magnoliopsida; Poales; Poaceae. The record is from RefSeq and is a predicted model, not a curated record. The transcript is spliced from 3 exons.
CCCGCCCACUCCCGUCCAUUCCAAACCCUACUUCCCCAAAUCACAGACCCACCGCCGCCGCCACCCCCGCCCCCCACUCCACCGCCGUCCCUUCCUAACCCUACUUCUGGCCGGCCCGUUCUCCCCUUCCCUGUGCGCCGCCGCCCUACCUCUCUUCCUCCGCUCAGCUGCCAUUUCCAUGGAAGCGGCCCGACCUGGUCAUUGCCGGAUCUGGCGGUCUGGCCGCACUGGUGGUCGAUGCUGCCGGAUCUGGCCGCUCCGGGCCUCAUCAACGCCGCCCCGGUUGUUCACCUCCCCAUCACCGCUUUUCCCAUCGUCAUCCCGUCCGCCUCGUCCAAAUCAGCUGAGAGGGUAGUCGCCUGUCUCCUGAGGAGUUCGUCCCCGACGGCCUCUCCAAGGACUCCCUCCCCCUCACUCCCAACGCCACUGCCUUCGGAACAUGUCCUCUUCUUCGUGGCAUCCAGUUCAAGAAGGGUCAACCGCGAGCUGCAUCGACAUCGAGUCGAGCGUUCCUCUUCUUCGUCGGGCCUGCACCAUCUCGGGGUGCAGCCGUGCAGCACCUGCUGCUGUGGAGGACGGAUGGCGCGGUGCUGGUAGAGCUGCUCCGGGCCUGCCCAGUCGAGCUCAACCACUAAUUGUUCAACCAAGCGCUGCACCACCACUUCCUCUACACUCGCUACCAGUGAGCACCACAACGCAUCUAUCAUCAUCGAGCUCAUCACCUGUAUGUAUGGAUCAAGAUGCUAUCACCUGUUUGUUUCCCUGUAUGUCUUUUCGGAGUUAACAAGGAUACUCACGGUCCAACGCACCAACUAAAUCUUUUGUUCCUUAGGUGCUUCUUCACAUAUUUUAUUAAGGAAUAUAGAUGAAUGGCUUCUAUCAGCGGCAAUUAACAAAAAAGCUUGAGAUUUGUUAAAAACUAGAGGAGAUACAUUGGUGGCUUGGUCUCUUGUAGAUGCCUGGAUAGAUGGAUGGCUUCUAGCGCCUUGCCGGCGAGGCAUGGGCUGGACAGCCAGAAUCAACCUGCCGGUUCCAAAAUGCAAAACGGCAGAUUGAUCAAAACAGAACAUGAUUCAUUUCGAUUUUAGUUUUUAAGCUGGUUGAUUGAGCAUGAACAGGUUACAGGUACAGAAAUAUCAUGUAGGCUGAUGCCCAAUGGCAUAAACAACAUUAUUUUCUUCAAGUAGAUUAUUCCUUGGAAUUGGAUUCUUCAGCUAGUGAAAACCAACACUACUAUUUUUCUAAAAAAACAUCACUACUAACUAUCAUAUGACUAUACUAGUAAGCUUGCACGUGCAACGCAUGUCUUGCUUUAUACUCUAGUAUUAAUUUUGUUUCAGAUAUUUACAAACAUUAAAGAAGAAAAGUUGUGUCUUUUUAUCCAAAUAAUUACAAAUGAUGGUGACUGUUUUGCUUGGAUUUAUUCUAUGCCAACAGUUCAGAAGAAUUUACAAUUUACCAUGGAUGCCCAGGAACGGUCUUAAAUAUACAAACUUACACACAAAUAAUUAUACUAUAAAGUCCAAUCAUACAGGGUAAUAAUAGGAAUGUGAUGAAGAGAUUAUCCAUCAGUAAGGAUACUGGUAUCAGUAGUAUACAUGUUCUUUGAUGUGUUCAUCUUUUGAGCAAAUAAGUCUAGCAAUGCAAGUGAAGACACAAAGAAAACUUGGAAACUGUCAGGAACUGGUGCCCAUGGCAACAAGGCAGGACAUGUGUGUACAAUUGGAUCAUAUUCUGGUAGUACAUCAAAUGUGCCGGUUAAUUGUACAAUUAUUUCUUCCACAUUGAAAAACAACCUGACUUUUUUUCCUGAAACAUACUUAUAAUACAACUAUUAAUGGUACCAAAUGUUAGUGAAAUCAUGCCUUGCCGGAAUUUUCCUUGUUUCUUAUGAUAGUGUGACAAGUAAGCCUCCAUGACUCCGGUUUCUGACCAAGCCAAUGAGCUGCAUAGAGUAGAGUUAAUUGACAACUUUACAAUAAAAUCAUCAAGCACAAUCUUCGUGGGUGAAUAGUGUUACAGUGAAUAAUAGUGUUAUAUCAUGAGGUUGCAAACUUGCAAUACAAAAUAGUGGUAAAUCAAUAAUAAUUAUGUAUAAGCAUGCAUGAGACCAAUAUUCGGCCUCCAGUACAUAUUAGUGGCAAAUCAAUAAAUAAAUCAUCAAGCACAAUCUUCGUGGGUGAAUAGUGUUACAGUGCAUAAUAGUGUUAUAUCACGAGGUUGCAAACUUGCAAUACAAAAUAGUGUUUAAUCAAUAAUAAUUGUGUAUAAGCAUGCAUGAGACCAAUAUUCGGCCUCCAGUACAUAUUAGUGGCAAAUCAAUAAAAAAAUCUGUAUAAGAAUGAGAGAAAAUUAGGAGAGCACCUAAGCAUACGUGUGUAGGUCACAUACCAAGAAUUGGCAUAAUUAGCACGCACAAGCGUCAGGAGAAUCCACCAGUUCUUCAAUCAACAAAAAGAAAGCCACCUCCAUCCUCCAACCAAUAUUAAUGGAAUCAAUUGAGAAAUCAGCAUAUAGAUUUUGGAGGUGCUGCCGGCGUCGGGGUUCCCGGUGGGAGAGGAGCGGCGCGUCACUGUUUCAAAUGAGUCAAUGAGACAAUAAAGCUCCAGAUUUUUAACAAAAUAAACAAUCAAACUGGUUUAAGAUGCAAGGUUCAUGACUUCCACAAAAAGAGCUCUUUUGGGAUUGUAAGAUGCAUCAGCUCAAAUUAGGAACUAUCAUCCUCACCGUUUCCAACAAAAAGGAAAUGAUAGGAGAACCAGUAAUUCACAUUUGCUUCACCAUGAAACCUUGAGCAUGCUGCAAUUUUUUCAACGACUGCACGUAAUUUGGCAAUUGAAUAGGAAAAUGGGUUCAAAGAUGACAUAAGCUAUGUAGGUAAAGGGCAGAAAAGUCACACUGGCAUCUUCAAUUGCAAAUGGAAAUAAUUUCACUGAAAUAAAGAAGCAAAAUCAACCAAUAUUGACUCGACCGAAACCUAAAUAAAGAAGCAAGGGUCAUGAACAUGUACAUCAAACCUCAGUAUUAUUGAAAUCCGUCGCAUGCAUAGAAUAGUGGAGCAUUGACCUGCAAAGUAACCUGGGCUCAGGUGUUCAGCCAUCUCAGUCUCCCCCAUCCUCAUGGCUAGCAUAAUUGGACUUUAACACAGUGCCAAAUGGAAGUCAUUUAUUUUUUUGGAAAACGGAGUCAUUCUCUCCGUCCAGUUAGUUUCACAGUUGAAUCCAUCUACAGGAAUCAACUAUUUGCAUGUGGCAAUCUAUUAAAGGCAGAAACACAUCGUCAAGCAUGAUCUUUCACGGAUCUACAUACAUUUAUAUGUUCGCUUUAUCAAAUCAAAGAAAGAUUAAAUUGGUCCAUCCAGAGCUUACACACGACCAUCAAACAACGUGUCUACCUUUUACAUGGAGGAUUCAGAUGAAGGAAUUCUCUCCAAAGCCUCCUCACGUACGCAUGGUGCUAGAGAUCUCGCUGUUGAGGGAGCACGGCAGGGAGAAGAGGCGCCGGGGCGGGGCGUGGCAGGCCCGGGUAGCGUGACAUGGCGGGAGGGGGCCUCAGCGGGAGCGCAGGCGCGCGGGGGGCGAGACAGGGGCGGCGGCGGGCCGGGGCGCGGCGGCGCCGCGGUGCGCGGCAUGCUGCGCGCGGCACGACACGAGGUCGGGGGUGCGGCGGCUUCUGCACCCUGGUGGGCGCGGCGGCGGGCGGGGAGCGAGGGUGGGGAUGGUGCUUAUCUUAGGGUGCGUGAUUACAGGGAUGCAUUGCGUGACUAUAUGAGGGUGAGUAAUUUUCACGAUUCCUUUUCUCGUGCUAUUACGGGCGAUGCAUUUGCGGAAGCCCGGCGUGAAGUUUCCUCUGCGGGGCUGUGGAGUAUGGUCAGACAAUCUAAAUUAUUACGUACACACGGGAGGAUAGAUUAGAUUAAGGCUAGCCGUUAGAUUAAGUUUAGUGGACCUAAUCACACGGUGAUACUGCAUCCGUGUACGUUUUGUGAGGUGCACCUAAGAAAGUUCUUGUUCAUUUGUUUAAUAGUAGUGGAGAUGAGGUGAACAGGAUUCAGAUUUCAGAAAGGGAAAUUACCUUGGUGGCAGGUGGCUUGGUCUCUUGACUCUUGUAGAUGCCCAGUGUCUGGCGAGGCCGCAGGGGGCGAGCCGAACGAUCCGGAGCAGCGGGCGAAACCGCGGAAGGCGGACCGUUCAGUUCUGCGUACAUUUUUGAAGAUGGAGGUGGAUUAUAAUGCUUUGGUGAUAAUAACACCAACCUUACAGCAAUAUCAUUUAUGAAUAACUACGACAAGGUUUCCUAAAGGUACACAAGUUCACUAAGGUUUGUAAGAUCUUCAAGCUGCUGGGAAUUUGGAAGACCUACAAUUAAGAUGGAGUGAUAAUGUCAUAUGUCUUGUUUGUUGAACCUAGAGAUUUGCUUUGCUCAUUUUGGUGCUUGUUAAGCUCAUUUUGUUUGUGUGGCACACAUCUAGAAACAUAUGUACAUAUGCUAUUGUGGCACUACAUUAUUUUGGUUGUGGCAAACAUAUAUGUACAGCCUCCUUAUAUAUGGUUGUUUUGUUUAUCGAAUGAAGUUUAAGAUUUCGAUGAA